UACAGACAGGAGCGGAGAAGGUGGAACUGUGGCUGCCCGCAGAGUGAUGGGAAGACUCCAUCAGCUGGCCCUGAUAGGGCUCCUGCUGCUUUGCCUCAGCCCUGGGCAGCUCUGCGAGACCUGUGGUG
Ornithorhynchus anatinus (platypus) is the source of this 128-nucleotide non-coding RNA. The record is from RefSeq and is marked provisional. NCBI's taxonomy places the organism in Eukaryota, Metazoa, Chordata, Mammalia, Monotremata, Ornithorhynchidae.